UACGUAGGGGGCAAGCGUUGUCCGGAAUCAUUGGGCGUAAAGCGCGUGUAGGCGGUUCAGUAAGUCUGCUGUGAAAGUCCAGGGCUCAACCCUGGGAUGCCGGUGGAUACUGCUGGGCUAGAGUACGGAAGAGGCGAGUGGAAUUCCCGGUGUAGCGGUGAAAUGCGCAGAUAUCGGGAGGAACACCAAUUGCGAAGGCGGCUAUCUGGACGCAUACUGACGCUGAAGUUCGAAAGCGUGGGGAGCAAACAGG
RNAcentral lists this ribosomal RNA (253 nucleotides) under uncultured bacterium. Its description in RNAcentral is "partial 16S ribosomal RNA". It matches the Rfam family "Bacterial small subunit ribosomal RNA", at positions 524 to 776 of the family's 1533-position model. The record is from RNAcentral.